UCGAGUGGCGAACGGGUGAGUAACACGUGGGUGAUCUGCCCUGCACUUCGGGAUAAGCCUGGGAAACUGGGUCUAAUACCGGAUAGGAGCCAUUUUUAGUGUGAUGGUUGGAAAGUUUUUUCGGUGUAGGAUGAGCUCGCGGCCUAUCAGCUUGUUGGUGGGGUAAUGGCCUACCAAGGCGGCGACGGGUAGCCGGCCUGAGAGGGUGGACGGCCACAUUGGGACUGAGAUACGGCCCAGACUCCUACGGGAGGCAGCAGUGGGGAAUAUUGCACAAUGGGCGCAAGCCUGAUGCAGCGACGCCGCGUGGGGGAUGACGGCCUUCGGGUUGUAAACUCCUUUCGCUAGGGACGAAGCUUUUUGUGACGGUACCUAGAUAAGAAGCACCGGCUAACUACGUGCCAGCAGCCGCGGUAAUACGUAGGGUGCGAGCGUUGUCCGGAAUUACUGGGCGUAAAGGGCUCGUAGGUGGUUUGUCGCGUCGUCUGUGAAAUUCCGGGGCUUAACUCCGGGCGUGCAGGCGAUACGGGCAUAACUUGAGUACUGUAGGGGUAACUGGAAUUCCUGGUGUAGCGGUGAAAUGCGCAGAUAUCAGGAGGAACACCGAUGGCGAAGGCAGGUUACUGGGCAGUUACUGACGCUGAGGAGCGAAAGCAUGGGUAGCGAACAGGAUUAGAUACCCUGGUAGUCCAUGCCGUAAACGGUGGGCGCUAGGUGUGAGGGUCUUUUCACGACUUUCGUGCCGUAGCUAACGCAUUAAGCGCCCCGCCUGGGGAGUACGGCCGCAAGGCUAAAACUCAAAGGAAUUGACGGGGGCCCGCACAAGCGGCGGAGCAUGUGGAUUAAUUCGAUGCAACGCGAAGAACCUUACCUGGGCUUGACA
RNAcentral lists this ribosomal RNA (883 nucleotides) under uncultured bacterium. RNAcentral describes it as "bacterial SSU rRNA". It matches the Rfam family "Bacterial small subunit ribosomal RNA", at positions 91 to 986 of the family's 1533-position model. The record is from RNAcentral.